Molecule: ribosomal RNA, 253 nt
Filed under: uncultured bacterium
Lineage: Bacteria
Description: partial 16S ribosomal RNA
Rfam family: Bacterial small subunit ribosomal RNA
Source: RNAcentral
UACGUAGGGUGCGAGCGUUGUCCGGAAUUAUUGGGCGUAAAGGGCUCGUAGGCGGUUUGUCGCGUCGGGAGUGAAAACUCAGGGCUUAACCCUGAGCCUGCUCCCGAUACGGGCAGACUAGAGGUAUGCAGGGGAGAACGGAAUUCCUGGUGUAGCGGUGAAAUGCGCAGAUAUCAGGAGGAACACCGGUGGCGAAGGCGGGUCUCUGGGCCGAUACUGACGCUGAGGAGCGAAAGCGUGGGGAGCGAACAGG